RNAcentral lists this ribosomal RNA (228 nucleotides) under uncultured bacterium. Its description in RNAcentral is "partial 16S ribosomal RNA". It matches the Rfam family "Bacterial small subunit ribosomal RNA", at positions 104 to 334 of the family's 1533-position model. The record is from RNAcentral.
CGGGGUGAGUAAUGUCUGGGAAACUGCCUGAUGGAGGGGGGAAACUACUGGAAACGGUAGCUAAUACCGCAUAACGUCUUCGGACCAAAGUGGGGGACCUUCGGGCCUCACGCCAUCGGAUGUGCCCAGAUGGGAUUAGCAGUAGGUGGGGUAAUGGCUCACCUAGGCGACGAUCCCUAGCUGGUCUGAGAGGAUGACCAGCCACACUGGAACUGAGACACGGUCCAG